This 1881-nucleotide ribosomal RNA is filed under the name human gut metagenome. RNAcentral describes it as "bacterial LSU rRNA". It matches the Rfam family "Bacterial large subunit ribosomal RNA", at positions 512 to 2413 of the family's 2925-position model. The record is from RNAcentral.
AGGUGAAAAGAACCCCGGGAGGGGAGUGAAAGAGAACCUGAAACCAUAUGCCUACAAGAAGUCAGAGCCCGUUAAAGGGUGAUGGCGUGCCUUUUGUAGAAUGAACCGGCGAGUUACUGUAUGGAGCGAGGUUAAGCAGGAUAUGCGGAGCCGAAGCGAAAGCGAGUCUUAAGAGGGCGAAAGUUGCAUGCAGUAGACCCGAAACCGGGUGAUCUAGCCAUGACCAGGUUGAAGUUGGGGUAAAACCCGAUGGAGGACCGAACCGACCCCCGUUGAAACGUUGGCGGAUGAGUUGUGGCUAGGGGUGAAAUUCCAAUCGAACCCGGAGAUAGCUGGUUCUCCCCGAAAUAGCUUUAGGGCUAGCGUCGAGGUAGAGAGUUGCGUGAAGGUAGAGCACUGAAUAUGUGAUGGCCCCAUCUCGGGGUACUGAGCAUAAUCAAACUGCGAAUGUCACGGAAACAUACUCGGCAGUCAGACAGCGGGUGAUAAGGUCCGUUGUCAAGAGGGAAACAGCCCAGACCAUCAGCUAAGGUCCCAAAAUGUAUGCUAAGUGGAAAAGGAUGUGGAGAUGUACAGACAACUAGGAGGUUGGCUCAGAAGCAGCCAUCCUUUAAAGAGUGCGUAACAGCUCACUAGUCGAAUGACUCUGCGCCGAUAAUUUACCGGGGCUAAGCAUACUACCGAAGCUAUGGAUCCCAAGGGAUGGUAGGGGAGCGUUCCAUGAACGGAGAAGCGCGAUCGAGAGGACGCGUGGAGAUCAUGGAAGAGAGAAUGCCGGUGUGAGUAGCGGAACGUGGGUGAGAAUCCCACGCACCGAAAACCCAAGGUUUCCAGAGGAAGGUUCGUCCGCUCUGGGUAAGUCGGGACCUAAGGCGAGGCCGAGAGGCGUAGUCGAUGGACAACAGGUAGAGAUUCCUGUACUCAUAUAUAUGUGAAGGAAUGACGGAGAGAGGAAGCUGCAGCCAGCGGCUGGAAGAGCUGGUGCAAGCGAGAUAUCGGGAUGGCAGGCAAAUCCACCAUCCGAAACGAGAAGGCGUGAAGCGUACGGAAAGCUAAGGCGAGUACGGAAGGCAGUGGAGGAGCUUCCAAGAAAAGUUUCUAACGAAAGUAUAUAUGGCCCGUACCGAAAAUGGACACACAUGGGUGAGGAGAGAAUCCUAAGGUGAGCGAGAGAACUAUAGCUAAGGAACUCUGCAAAAUGACUCCGUAACUUAGGGAGAAGGAGUGCUCAUAGAGAUAUGAGCCGCAGUGAAACGGCCCAAGCGACUGUUUACCAAAAACACAGCUCUCUGCUAAGCCGCAAGGCGAAGUAUAGGGGGUGACGCCUGCCCGGUGCUGGAAGGUUAAGGGGAGGGGUUAACGCAAGUGAAGCCCUGAACUGAAGCCCCAGUAAACGGCGGCCGUAACUAUAACGGUCCUAAGGUAGCGAAAUUCCUUGUCAGGUAAGUUCUGACCCGCACGAAAGGCGUAACGAUUUGGGCGCUGUCUCAGCUGUAGACUCGGUGAAGUCUUAGUACCUGUGAAGAUGCAGGUUACCCGCGACUAGACGGAAAGACCCCAUGGAGCUUCACUGCAGGUUGAUAUUGGGAUUUGAUGCAGCAUGUACAGGAUAGGUAGGAGGCAAAGAGAUGGAUACGCCAGUAUUCAAGGAGCCGCUGUUGGGAUACUACCCCUGUUGUAUUGGAUUUCUAACCGGACGACGUAAAGCCGUUGACGGGACAGUGUCAGUCGGGCAGUUUGACUGGGGCGGUCGCCUCCCAAAGAGUAACGGAGGCGCCCAAAGAUACCCUCAGCUUGGAUGGAAACCAAGCGCAGAGUGCAAAGGCAAAAGGGUGUUUGACUGCGAGACCUACAAGUCGAGCAGGGACGAAAGUCGGGCUU